Molecule: long non-coding RNA, 1220 nt
Organism: Hemicordylus capensis (graceful crag lizard)
Lineage: Eukaryota; Metazoa; Chordata; Lepidosauria; Squamata; Cordylidae
Exons: 3
Source: RefSeq, a predicted model, not a curated record
AGUGGGCGGUGGGAGGACAGAGGGAGGAGGGGAAAGCUAGCGCCCGUUAUCAUAACGGGCUUAAAAAUACUAAUAUAAUAUAAUAGUCAGUCUAUGCACAGAAGGUCCAUAAGCACAAUGCAUUUUUUGUUCAGAUGAGUGCUGAGGACCAUUUUAGAAGCAGCACUGGUUUAGCCCAUGAGCCAGGCCCACAAAUUUUGGGCAUCAGUAGCAUCUCAGAGACAAAUGCUCAUAGUGCUUUUUGGCAACAUCUACCCCAUUAGAGAAGGAAAAUAAGCGAUAGCACUGUUGCACUUACCAACUAGAGAUGUGCACGGAAUCAGGCAGGGGUGGUUUGAAGGCGGGUGUGUGUGUGCUGCUUUAAAGGUGGGGGAGGGUGCACAUAUCUUGUCUAAAGUCCCUCGGGGCGGCAGCAUACCUCCCUGCUUCCCCAUUGCCCCAGUUUACUGGAACUUUCCAGAAGUAGCUGGCGCACCAGCACAGACGUACACUAUGUUUCUUCUGCUGGCCUGGACACAAAGGAGGCAUGUCAGCUGCUUUGCAUUCCAGUGGCACCAGAAGAAGCUCAAGUGGAAGAGAGCAAUGAACAAUUUCAGGCAAGAUGCCAACACACUGUGGUAAAAUGCAGGAGAAAGAGCCGCCUCUGCAGAGAAGGCCAUUGCUUGGCAACAGAUAAGAGAGAGUUAUGCAAAGGAAACUCAAACUUGGAGAAGAAACAGAGGAGUAAGAAACGAUGGAAGCAAACAGUCUUGGAGUAGUUGUGUUUGUGAACUCUGUAAGUGAGAGGAGGAUAUGAAAAAGAAAAGAGAAGAUCUUCAUGUAGGAGAAGCUGCUAACCAGGGAGAAUUCAGAACUACACAUUACAUAAGAACAUAAGAACAGCCCUGCUGGAUCAGGCACAAGGCCCAUCUAGUCCAGCAUCCUGUUUCACACAGUGGCUCACCAGACGCCUCUGGGGAGCCCACAAGCAAGAGGUUCCUCAUGUUGCCUAAAGAAAAAGCAUGGAAGGACAAAGAGACUUGGGGAACUACUGAUCCAUUCAUUCCACCCAGAAAUGGUAGCCCAAUUGGGCCUUGGCAUCAUCCUCUGUGUACGCACAACAGCUCUGCCGUUUUGUAACAAAUAAGCCAGAGCAGAAAGAAACAGGUCAAAUCCAUUGAGUGCGGGCUACUGCUUUCUAUUAAAGAUUCCCUCCCUUGGUUAAUCUUCUCUGCAGGAAC